Molecule: ribosomal RNA, 305 nt
Filed under: uncultured bacterium
Lineage: Bacteria
Description: bacterial SSU rRNA
Rfam family: Bacterial small subunit ribosomal RNA
Source: RNAcentral
UUGCCUACGGGGGGCAGCAGUGGGGGAUAUUGCACAAUGGGGGAAACCCUGAUGCAGCGACGCCGCGUGGGUGAAGAAGCGCCUCGGCGCGUAAAGCCCUGUCAGCAGGGAAGAAAAUGACGGUACCUGAAGAAGAAGCCCCGGCUAACUACGUGCCAGCAGCCGCGGUAAUACGUAUGGUGCGAGCGUUGUCCGGAUUUACUGGGCGUGAAGGGGGCGCAGGCGGCGCGCCAAGCCCGAUGUGAAAGCCCGGGGCUCAACCCCGGGACUGCAUUGGGAACUGGCGUGCUGGAGUGCCGGAGGGG